Molecule: small RNA, 96 nt
Filed under: Mytilus galloprovincialis (Mediterranean mussel)
Lineage: Eukaryota; Metazoa; Mollusca; Bivalvia; Mytilida; Mytilidae
Source: RNAcentral
CAUACAAAAUUGACUUUUGUGAGACAAAAUUGACUUUUGUGAGACAAAACUCAAUUUUGUGAGUCUCACAAAAGUCAAUUUUGUAUGCAAAUUAGU